This 449-nucleotide ribosomal RNA is filed under the name uncultured soil bacterium. Its description in RNAcentral is "bacterial SSU rRNA". It matches the Rfam family "Bacterial small subunit ribosomal RNA", at positions 26 to 518 of the family's 1533-position model. The record is from RNAcentral.
AGAACGAACGCUGGCGGCAGGCUUAACACAUGCAAGUCGAACGGGUGUAGCAAUACAUCAGUGGCAGACGGGUGAGUAACACGUGGGAACCUUCCUAGGGGUACGGAACAACUCAGGGAAACUUGAGCUAAUACCGUAUACGUCCGUAAGGAGAAAGAUUCAUCGCCCCUAGACGGGCCCGCGUCGGAUUAGGUAGUUGGUGGGGUAACGGCCUACCAAGCCUACGAUCCGUAGCUGAUCUGAGAGGAUGAUCAGCCACACUGGGACUGAGACACGGCCCAGACUCCUACGGGAGGCAGCAGUGGGGAAUCUUGGACAAUGGGCGCAAGCCUGAUCCAGCCAUGCCGCGUGAGUGAAGAAGGCCUUAGGGUUGUAAAGCGUCUUUUACCAGGGACGAUAAUGACGGUACCUGGAGAAUAAAGCCCGGCAAACUUCGUGCCAGCAGCCGC